CUUUGAGUAGAUGUUGGGGGUGUUGAGGUCUAGUGAGCAGAGAAGACUCUUGGCCAGACAGACGGCUUCUCACUGGCGGGACGCGUCUCACUGGCGGGACGCGAGGGUCUCCAUGCGCUGGAAAUCUCUCCAGUACCAGGAGCAGCUGGUAGAUAGCAAGGAGCUGCAGCCUAUUGCCAGCCAUCUGAUCUCCGCCAGGGACUUGGGUUCUCUGUGUAGAUAGUUCCAAAGGAGGCUACCCCUGAGAGCCCUUAACUUCAACCUCAGGGCAGGCCCCUCCUGGAAACACCUAGGAACCACAGAGUCAGGGCAGCAGAGACUCCAGGCUUCAGCUUGCUCAGCUAAGAGAACCCUGGGUGCCAUAUCACAGAGAAUCCAGGAGUCCUGCCAAAGUGCCACCAAGUGGCUAGUGGAGACCCAAGUGAAGGCCAGAAGGAAGAAGGGGUACAAAAGGGCAGUGGCUCCCCAGCUCACAGCCUGGGCCAGAGGAGGACCCGGCUGUCUGGAGCCACAGACCCCUGGGCAUCACCGCCUUUCUGCCCGGACAGACUCAUGUGCCCAAACACUACAGCAAUGGAGGCAGGAAGCCGCCUUCCAGAGCCCCUACUCCUUGACAGAGCCUCUCUACUCUACCAGCGAGUCUGAUAGUGGCCUAGGGUCUGUGGGAGGGCAGGAAUUCAGCAUCUCCAGAAGCUGUGCCAAGAGCUGGAUGAAGCCAUUAUGGCUUUAGAAAGGAAACAAGCCCUGACUGACCACCAAGGCUUCAUACCCAAGAAUGUCUGUGCUUCCCCAUGAGCUUCCUGGCAGAAGCUCCUAGGAGUCAUGAGUACCCCUGGGCCACUGCUAAUAAGGACCUGACUAGCAAGGGGCCCAGAGCCCCCUGCUCCAGCCACAUCUGGACCCAUCAGUGACUGCCUGCCACAGCCUGAGUGAGACCGUCUUGGGGAGACCUUGCAAAGGUGGGGAAAAUUGUUCCUUCUACUCCCCCAGGGAACUCUUGGGCUUAGAAAUUCAUCGUAUACUUGACCAGGAGGCCUGGUAUUUGCUUCGUCUAUAAUGUGAAGUGCCAGCAUCAGAUGUUUGAGAGCUCUGAACUGUGUACCCAGGUGCCUGGUUUUUGGGGAGUCAUCCACAGAGUCACUCGCCCACUUGUUUCUGGUGCCAAGGAUCUUGGGGGCACCACUUUCAUCCCUGCUUUCCCUACCAGGAACCCGGAGGAAGGCAUAGGAGACAGUUCCAGGAUUAAGACUCUGGGCUCACAGGUAGCUAUAUGUAUGCUCAAGGCAGAGUGCUGUGGGUGUGCCAGGAGGGGUAGCCCUGUUCGAGAGCAACUUCUGCCCUUUGUAAAUUAUUUAAGAAACGUGCUUUGUCAUUUUAUUAGAAAGAAGCCAGCCUGUGACUUUCCUAGCUAACACUGCUUUCUCAUAAUAAAGACUGCUUGCA
Cebus imitator (Panamanian white-faced capuchin) is the source of this 1443-nucleotide RNA transcript. It is a transcript of the gene named protein PIMREG-like, with no coding region annotated. The transcript has 2 exons. NCBI's taxonomy places the organism in Eukaryota, Metazoa, Chordata, Mammalia, Primates, Cebidae. The record is from RefSeq and is a predicted model, not a curated record.